RNAcentral lists this ribosomal RNA (424 nucleotides) under uncultured beta proteobacterium. Its description in RNAcentral is "bacterial SSU rRNA". It matches the Rfam family "Bacterial small subunit ribosomal RNA", at positions 207 to 622 of the family's 1533-position model. The record is from RNAcentral. Lineage: Bacteria; Pseudomonadati; Pseudomonadota; Betaproteobacteria.
CAAGACCUUGCGCUAUUGGAGCGGCCGAUGUCCGAUUAGCUAGUUGGUGAGGUAAAGGCUCACCAAGGCGACGAUCGGUAGCUGGUCUGAGAGGACGACCAGCCACACUGGGACUGAGACACGGCCCAGGCUCCUACGGGAGGCAGCAGUGGGGAAUUUUGGACAAUGGGGGCAACCCUGACCCAGCCAUGCCGCGUGUGUGAAGAAGGCCUUCGGGUUGUAAAGCAUUUUUGGCGGGAACGAAACGGUCUGUGCUAAUACCACGGACUAAUGACGGUACCCGCAGAAUAAGCACCGGCUAACUACGUGCCAGCAGCCGCGGUAAUACGUAGGGUGCGAGCGUUAAUCGGAAUUACUGGGCGUAAAGCGUGCGCAGGCGGUUUCGCAAGUCAGAUGUGAAAUCCCCGGGCUCAACCUGGGAACU